This 647-nucleotide long non-coding RNA is filed under the name Ficedula albicollis (Collared flycatcher). Its description in RNAcentral is "lncRNA (ENSFALG00000023935.1)". The record is from RNAcentral. Lineage: Eukaryota; Metazoa; Chordata; Aves; Passeriformes; Muscicapidae.
GUGAAUUAAAAAUUUUGUUCAGACAAACUUGAAAGUUGUAUAAACUUACUGCUGAAUAUACUGACUCUUUCCUAGGAAAACAUGGGAACAUAGGAUGGCAUGUGGCAAGGUCACAGGACCACAGGAUCACGAGGUUGGAAGAGACCUUCAGGAUCAUUGAGUCCAGUCUAAAUUGGUCUAAGUGGAGCUGCAUUGCUGAAGGAUUACCAUGGAGAAGAAACUAUUUCCAAACUGACAAGAAUGUGGAAUCAGAUGAACAGAGAGAGCUGAUUCAAUUUCUGCCUGAACUCCAGGAUCACUGUUGGAGGCCUGGCUGCCUAAGGGAGCAACACCUCUCUCUGCUGCUGUGUCUGAGGGCACAGCUGUGAUUCUCAACCACCCUGUCAUAGCACAGCUACAUUCAGACUCCUAAGAGAGACCAAGCCUCUCAGUCACCUCUGCCUAUCAACACCUCAAUGCAGGAAGACCCUACAUACUUCACUUCAAGCAGAUGUCUACAUUCACUGGUGUCUAUUGAAGAAUUUUUCUUCUGUGAAUACAACCGGGCAUUAUUUAAAAAAAAAUUAAUUGCACUGAAGGCACCCUGUUUUGCAGUCUGUGUAGCUGUGUGAGAGCCUGGAAGUUUUUCCCUGCAGGCAGAGCACCAG